AAUAAGUGCAGUUUUGCACUAUUCAUGUUCAACGUUUGACCGUCCGUCUUAUUUGAAAAAUUUGUGAAAAAAUUAAAAACAUUUAGUCACACAUAGAGUACUAUUCAUGUUUUAUCAUCUAAUAGCAAUAAAAAUACUAAUUAUAAAAAAUUUUCAAAUAAGACGGACGGUCAAACGUUGAACAUGAAUAGUGCAAAACUGCACUUAUU
RNAcentral lists this microRNA precursor (209 nucleotides) under Oryza rufipogon (brownbeard rice). RNAcentral describes it as "MIR812 microRNA precursor family". It matches the Rfam family "MIR812 microRNA precursor family". The record is from Rfam by way of RNAcentral. Lineage: Eukaryota; Viridiplantae; Streptophyta; Magnoliopsida; Poales; Poaceae.